GGAAAUUGUUGGCCAAAACCUGUGGAUGUUGUUCCUCCCACCUCUAAUACUCCUCCUCGAGUGAUCAUGAAGAAACCAAUUAAUACAUCUCCGGGAAGUAACACAAGGAGUGUGGUGGCGCAGCCUAGCGGAGAUGGCGGUGAUUCGAGGAAAAUGGAAGUUCCGGCUAGCGGAAAAAUAAUUACGCCAAAUUUAAAAAUGUUUACGCUAGCGGAAUUAAAGAGCGCGACGCGUAAUUUUCGGCCCGAUACGGUGCUAGGUGAGGGAGGAUUUGGUACAGUAUUUAAAGGAUGGGUCGAUGACAAAACAUUUGCACCUUCUAGAGUUGGAGUUGGUAUGC
This 340-nucleotide unclassified non-coding RNA is filed under the name Hevea brasiliensis (rubber tree). Lineage: Eukaryota; Viridiplantae; Streptophyta; Magnoliopsida; Malpighiales; Euphorbiaceae. The record is from RNAcentral.